CGUAGUCCAGGUGCAGAGUAGAAAACCCACGAUGAUCACAGGAAACAGCCCACGAAAUCCCCGCAGCGGCGUUGAUCUCCGGUCAGCAAACUCACAGUUAGCCGUUAGCAGAAUCCACGUCGUGGCGUUCACAGCUCUGUGUCUGAAAAGUCAGCAGCCAGCCGACGAAUAAUCCAAUGUCUCAGGAAAUGAAACGGUCAGAGGAGCGACAGAUUCUAUGGACAUUUGGACUAUAUAGAUGUCAGCAUUUCAUUUAAAGCAGCAUCUGCAGUGAUUCACAAGCGGUGGAGAAGGAAGCAGCAGCUGAAGUGCGUUAGGGUUUCCUGCAGGAGAGAGGAGGGAUGGUGGCAUUGUCAUCACAGCAGGCAUUGUUGUUUGGCAGGUCCACCACCAAUGCAGUGACAGCUGUGGAUUACCUGAAACAGAACAGAGACCAAAGAACUACAGACUCUUCACAACCUGCUCAAACUCUUGGUACAGGACCUCACCACACGGGUCAAGAAGGUCGCUGGUCGAAGCAGUUCGUAGAGUCGGGAUGCUUGGAGGAAAAUGAGCUUCGCCGGCUUUCACAUGGAGAUGUUGCUGUAGAUGCUGCUGUAGAGCUGAUCGAUCUUCGCCUUGAAGAAUUCCUGUUUUUGCGCCAAAAUUCAUGAUGAUUUUUUUUCCAAAGAAAACCUUUCUGGAGUGUUUUUCACAGCCUCCUUUACAUUAUUUCAUCAUAUGGCACGUUUUUACAACAUGUUGAAAAAUCGUAUUUUUUUCCGACAUAGUAUAUUAUGUCGACAAAAAAAUGUGUUCUAAUGCUACAUUGUGUUAGCUAAUUCUGUUGAGAGGCUAAUUGAUGAUUAGAAAACCAUUGUGCAAUUAUGUUAGCACAUGCAUAAAAGUAUGAGUUUUCAGUUAGCUAACACAAUGUAGCAUUAGAACACAGGAGUGAUGGUUGCUGGAAAUGUUCCUCUGUACCUCUAUGGAGAUAUUCCAUUAAAAAUCAGCUGUUUUCAGCUAGAAUAGUCAUUUACCACAUUAACAAUGUCUAGACUGUAUUUAUCAUUCAUUUCAUGUUAUCUUAACUGAAAAAAAUGCUUUUCUUUCAAAAAAAUCAGGACAAUUCUAAGUGACCCCAAACUUUUGAACAGUAGUCUAUAUGUAAUGGGUGAAAAGGUGUCAAACGACUGAUUACCUACCUUUAAGUGAGAAGCUCCGUUUGGGGAAGUAAAUUAAAUGUACUCAUUCAGUCCCUGAGGCAAACUUUAACUGUAGUUUCACAUCUGCAGAAAAACGGACUCAUUCUGACUUCAGAUCAGGAAACAGACUCAAACAGCACGUAGUCGGUCAGAGGCUGAAAAUUAACUUCCAGUCAGAGACAUCUGGAAAAAAAGACGAGGCUCAACAUAAUUAUUCUGCUUUAUGUAGUUGGAUUUAAACAACACAUUUAAGAAACCAAGUUUUAUUAUUCCAAAGGGGCACUUUAUACAAUAUCAAGGUAGGAAUUAAAUAUGGAAUCAAAUUGAUGAAACAAAGCAGGCAGUGUACGAGACCAUUGCAGCUUGCAUAAGAACACUUCAGCCUCGUCUCCGUUGGCAGCAGAGCUCAGCUGAGGUUCGUCUGACCUCCAGAACGACCACUACGAUGCUGAAGUCUGGCCAGUGGAGACGAGGCGUUUGACAAAACCCACAUGAAAUCCUGAGGAGAGUCAGAUUUCAUGUGCAAAUAUAUUAUCACAACUCGCAGCUCGAAAAAUAGAACAAUCUUUCUUAUUACAAUGAUAAGGGACAUUAUAAAGAAAUCUUUCUCCAAAAUAGAACCCAGUAGAUGCUGACAUGUGGUAACGCUAUAUACAUCUUCCUUCUGCUUCAAAUAAAAUACAUCUUCGCCAAAGCAACGUUAAAUAUAUUAUUGUUUGAAGUAUUUUACAGGCAGGAAAGUACCUUUUUAUGUUCCCAGAUAAACUGAGCGAUAGGUAGAGUGCAUCAGAGAGAGGAAAGUGAACUCAAACAGAAGCGAUUAAGAGUUUUUAGAGCCGAUUGUUUAGUUUGAGUGAUGGAUUUGUUGAUCUACCUCCCUCUUACAGCUGCUGUGGAGUAAAUAUGCAAAGAUUAACUUGAUACAAAUGAAAGUUUUGGCAUGGCUUUGAUAAAACUCUUUAAAAAAUGUUAGGAAUAAUUAUAUUCUGUUUACAAUCAGUUACACACAUGGGUGACAAAUGAACGCUCGCUGACAUGACUGGUCUAUUAUUUUCUGUAUCUAUAGAUCUAUCAUCGCAAUUAAAGGAAAGUUCGUAGCAAAUAAUUUAAGUCAACAAAACACGUCUUAAAACACACAUGCAGAAAAGGCAUUUUGUUGUGGAAAUAUUGCUUCUAUUAUCCUAAGAUGUAAACAUUAGAGCAUCAUGUGACUGUAUUUAAAUAAUACAGUCCAUCAGUGCAAACAUUCUCCAGACCAAAAGUAACAAAAGAUUAAAUGUUAUUUCUCAGUUGUAAUACAAGUACCACA
Long non-coding RNA from Amphiprion ocellaris (clown anemonefish), 2493 nucleotides. Lineage: Eukaryota; Metazoa; Chordata; Actinopteri; Pomacentridae. The record is from Ensembl.